Molecule: unclassified non-coding RNA, 240 nt
Filed under: soil metagenome
Description: partial contains 5.8S ribosomal RNA, internal transcribed spacer 2, and large subunit ribosomal RNA
Source: RNAcentral
AACGCACGAGACCUGCGGACCUGCGGAGGGAUCAUUAAUGAGAAACUGCCCCUCGCGGGUAGAUCUCCCACCCUUUGUAACCUUACCUUUGUUGCUUUGGCAGGCCCGUCUCCGGACCGCCGGCUUCGGCUGGCCAGUGCCUGCCAGAGGAUUCUAAAACUCUGUCUGUCAGUGUUGUCUGAGUCUAUAUACAAUCGUUAAAACUUUUAGCAAUGGAUCUCUAGAUCGGAAGAGCACACG